Molecule: non-coding RNA, 1596 nt
Organism: Coturnix japonica (Japanese quail)
Lineage: Eukaryota; Metazoa; Chordata; Aves; Galliformes; Phasianidae
Source: RefSeq, a predicted model, not a curated record
CUCCUAGAGUUAAGUCUUUUGUUUUGUGGGGUUUUUUUUCCUUCUACUCUUAGUUUCAUUCCUUUCCUUGUAGCUGACAAUGGGAAAUAAAUCAAAUCCAUCACUUUCUGCUCACAGUUUCCCAGGGAGGAGGAGAGGAGGAACACCUCAGCCCCCUGACUUCCCAGACUUGCUCACUGAUCUUGAAAGUGAUGCACUCCCGUGCUUAUGGCACACACACACACAACCCAGCACUACUACACACUUCCCAGGGUCUGGAUAUUGCCAUCCAUCACAGCAGCUCUGGUUCCAGUUCUUGCUAACGUCUGAAUUUCCUGCUGGCUCAGUGAACGGCUUUCAGCUUGUGGUACAUUAUAUAGCUACUGGGUGAAUGGGACUGAGCAUUCCCGUUUGGCUCCGAGCGCUGUGUUCACCUGAGCUUGCUGGCAGGAUGAAUAGUUCGCUGCAGUUCUAGUGCUAACCCCCUUUGUGAACUAGCAGUGAGCCAUGUACCUUAUUACAAAGGCCGACAGCUCCCUGGAAACUUAAAUCCACUCUUUCUCCUCUCCCUACCAUAGGGAGCUAUAAAAUAAAAGGUCUUGGUUGGUAGGCAUGUAAUAUAACAAAAAAACCUCUGUUGUGGCAGGAUCCAGACUCCCCGGUAACAAUAAGGAUUAUGCUCUCACAUCGAAAAUGCAGUUGCUAGUUUUAACUGUGGUACUUUAUUAUGGAUUCCUACAGUGUACAUUUAUGUCAGAGGCUUGGAUGUUUAACUUGAGUCAAGUAUGAGCAGAAAAGAGAGCUCAGCGUCUUAUUUUCAAUAUGGAGGGAAAAGAUGCAACUUGUUACACUGCUUUGAUGCAACCUUCCUCCAUACCACUUCUCAGAGAGCUUUAAAUAGCCCGACACUGGCACUGGGUAGGCGCUGGCAGAAGAAUGGAUUUUUUUCAUCUGAUGGCUCGCCAAGGUUGUUUUCAAGAAGGAGAAGUAGAAGAAGAAGGGGAAAAAAAGAAAAACUUUUACAUGCCAGUCAUUCAUUGCCUGCCAGUUCCCAUGGUUCUCCUAUGGAUGGUAGCCACGUAACUAUUGAAAGUACAGUAAACACUGAGGAAAGUGAAAAGAAACUUGUGAAGAAGAGAACAGCGAAGGGAAAGAAGCUGGAUGUGGAGUACUGGUAGUAGGAGUCACACGGGGAUCCUUUUAGGAAGUACCAUGGAUGCUGACCUCAUUUCCUGCGGCAUUUUUUCCUGCGGCAGCUCCUUGGCUCUACUCAAUGAGGGACCCAGUGCAUGAUGCAGCAUCCUGGGAGAAGGGUCUCCUGCAAACCUGGUUCUGUCCAGUGAAGCAUCCCAUGUGCCAAAUAAUCCCCAGGUCCCGAAGUAUGAAACCAUCAGAGAUUUGUGACAUUCCUGGUUUUGGAGUGAAGUGGUAGAAGAGCAUAUGGAAAACACCAACCAGGCACCAGUCUGUUGGAAGGAUAUCCCAAAUGGCUUUGGGUACCUGGUUUGUGAGCAACCACUGUGCUGAUGCAGAGUCACAGUAUGGUUGGGUUGGAAGGGACCUCAAGGAUCAUGAAGUUCCAACCCCCCACCACAGGCAGGGCCACCAACCUCCACA